GAUGCCGUCUGGGCCUGCAGCCUUGCGAGGGUUAACACGUUUAAAUGUCUUACUCACCUCGGUUGCAGUGAAGGAGAGUGUGUGUGUGUGUGUGUGUGUGUGGAGCCUGGCAGGCUUACUGUGGUAUCCACACAGCAACAGCUGAGACGCACAGGGCUGAGAGAGAUGACAGCUUGAGAGAGCAAGCUGAAGGACUGUGGGGAUUGGGACGUUUUAUACAGCAGUCUGUGGUGUCUGUCUGCCUGUCUGCCUGUCUGUCUGUUACCCUCUCUCAACCCAGUCAAUGACACCACACUGUCAAUGGUAGUGACUCAUGCCUAAGGCCUAGUUUAUAUGGCCUAACAUGCUGUGUUUCCCUCCUUAUGUUUCUGCUGCCUGAGAGUGGUGUUACUUUGACAUGAACAGACAGGUGCAGGGGAGUGGUGUUACUUUGACAUGAACAGACAGGUGCUGGGGAGUGGUGUUACUUUGACAUGAACAGACAGGUGCUGGGGAGUGGUGUUACUUUGACAUGAACAGACAGGUGCUGGGGAGUGGUGUUACUUUGACAUGAACAGACAGGUGCUGGGGAGUGGUGUUACUUUGACAUGAACAGACAGGUGCUGGGGAGUGGGUGUUACUUUGACAUGAACAGACAGGUGCUGGGGAGUGGUGUUACUUUGACAUGAACAGACAGGUGCUGGGGAGUGGUGUUACUUUGACAUGAACAGACAGGUGCUGGGGAGUGGUGUUACUUUGACAUGAACAGACAGGUGCUGGGGAGUGGUGUUACUUUGACAUGAACAGACAGGUGCUGGGGAGUGGUGUUACUUUGACAUGAACAGACAGGUGCUGGGGAGUGGUGUUACUUUGACAUGAACAGACAGGUGCUGGGGAGUGGUGUUACUUUGACAUGAACAGACAGGUGCUGGGGAGUGGUGUUACUUUGACAUGAACAGACAGGUGCUGGGGAGUGGUGUUACUUUGACAUGAACAGACAGGUGCUGGGGAGUGGUGUUACUUUGACAUGAACAGACAGGUGCUGGGGAGUGGUGUUACUUUGACAUGAACAGACAGGUGCUGGGGAGUGGUGUUACUUUGACAUGAACAGACAGGUGCUGGGGAGUGGUGUUACAUUGACAUGAACAGACAGGUGCUGGGGAGUGGUGUUACUUUGACAUGAACAGACAGGUGCUGGGGAGUGGGUGUUACUUUGACAU
Oncorhynchus tshawytscha (Chinook salmon) is the source of this 1199-nucleotide long non-coding RNA. RefSeq lists it as uncharacterized. The transcript is spliced from 2 exons. Lineage: Eukaryota; Metazoa; Chordata; Actinopteri; Salmoniformes; Salmonidae. The record is from RefSeq and is a predicted model, not a curated record.